CUACGGGUCGCAGCAGUAAAGAAUCUUCCACAAUGGGCGAAAGCCUGAUGGAGCGACACCGCGUGCAGGAUGAAGGCCUUCGGGUUGUAAACUGCUUUUCUGGGGGGAUAAUUCUGAAGGUACCCUAGGAAUAAGCACCGGCUAAAUCCGUGCCAGCAGCCGCGGUAAUACGGAUGGUGCAAACGUUACCCGGAAUCAUUGGGCGUAAAGCGUCCGCAGGCUGCGUAGCAAGUCAGAUAUUAAAUCCCAAGGCCCAACUUUGGGGCUGUGUUUGAAACUGCUGCGCUAGAGUCUUGGAGAGGUGAGUGGAAUUCUACAUGUAGGGGUAAAAUCCGUAGAUAUGUAGAGGAACACCAAAAGCGAAGGCAGCUCACUGGCCAAGUACUGACGCUCAUGGACGAAAGCGUGGGGAGCAAACGGGAUUAGAUACCCGGGUAGUC
Molecule: ribosomal RNA, 440 nt
Filed under: uncultured bacterium
Lineage: Bacteria
Description: partial 16S ribosomal RNA
Rfam family: Bacterial small subunit ribosomal RNA
Source: RNAcentral